This 523-nucleotide ribosomal RNA is filed under the name uncultured bacterium. RNAcentral's name for it is "bacterial SSU rRNA". It matches the Rfam family "Bacterial small subunit ribosomal RNA", at positions 26 to 518 of the family's 1533-position model. The record is from RNAcentral.
AGGACGAACGCUGGCGGCGUGCCUAAUACAUGCAAGUCGAACGGUCGUUUCUAUGGAAGGCUUGCUUCCACUGAGAAGAUAGUGGCGAACGGGUGAGUAACACGUGGGUAACCUGCCCAUAAGAGGGGGAGUAACAUCCGGAAACGGGUGCUAAUACCGCAUAGUUUUCUUGAUCGCAUGAUCGGGAAAGGAAAGACGGCCUUUGUGCUGUCGCUUAUGGAUGGACCCGCGGCGUAUUAGUUAGUUGGUGAGGUAACGGCUCACCAAGACGAUGAUACGUAGCCGACCUGAGAGGGUGAUCGGCCACAUUGGGACUGAGACACGGCCCAAACUCCUACGGGAGGCAGCAGUAGGGAAUCUUCCGCAAUGGACGAAAGUCUGACGGAGCAACGCCGCGUGAGUGAAGAAAAGGUUUUCGGAUCGUAAAACUCUGUUGUCAGAGAAGAACAAGUUGGAGAGUAACUGCUCCAGCCUUGACGGUAUCUGACCAGAAAGCCACGGCUAACUACGUGCCAGCCGCCGC